RNAcentral lists this RNase P RNA (267 nucleotides) under Yersinia enterocolitica (type O:5) str. YE53/03. It matches the Rfam family "Bacterial RNase P class A", at positions 20 to 261 of the family's 367-position model. From Rfam's summary of the family: Ribonuclease P (RNase P) is a ubiquitous endoribonuclease, found in archaea, bacteria and eukarya as well as chloroplasts and mitochondria. Its best characterised activity is the generation of mature 5'-ends of tRNAs by cleaving the 5'-leader elements of precursor-tRNAs. Lineage: Bacteria; Pseudomonadati; Pseudomonadota; Gammaproteobacteria; Enterobacterales; Yersiniaceae. The record is from RNAcentral.
CCGCUUCGCUGCCGUCCCUUUCGGGGGAGACAGGUGAAGGGGAGGAAAGUCCGGGCUCCAUAGGGCAGGGUGCCAGGUAACGCCUGGGAGGCGCAAGCCUACGACAAGUGCAACAGAGAGCAAACCGCCGAUGGCCCACGCAAGUGGGAUCAGGUAAGGGUGAAAGGGUGCGGUAAGAGCGCACCGCGCGGCUGGCAACAGUCCGUGGCACGGUAAACUCCACCCGGAGCAAGGCCAAAUAGGGGUUCACAUGGUACGGCCCGUACU